RNAcentral lists this transfer RNA (73 nucleotides) under Glycine max (soybean). RNAcentral describes it as "tRNA-Tyr". It matches the Rfam family "tRNA". From Rfam's summary of the family: Transfer RNA (tRNA) molecules are approximately 80 nucleotides in length. The record is from RNAcentral. Lineage: Eukaryota; Viridiplantae; Streptophyta; Magnoliopsida; Fabales; Fabaceae.
AUGACCUUAGCUCAGUUGGUAGAGUGGAGGACUGUAGAUCCUUAGGUCGCUGGUUCAAAUCCGGCAGGUCGGA